Molecule: ribosomal RNA, 465 nt
Filed under: uncultured bacterium
Lineage: Bacteria
Description: bacterial SSU rRNA
Rfam family: Bacterial small subunit ribosomal RNA
Source: RNAcentral
CCUACGGGAUGCACCAGUGGGGAAUAUUGCACAAUGGGCGCAAGCCUGAUGCAGCCAUGCCGCGUGUGUGAAGAAGGCCUUCGGGUUGUAAAGCACUUUCAGCGGGGAGGAAGGCGGUGAGGUUAAUAACCUCAUCGAUUGACGUUACCCGCAGAAGAAGCACCAGCUAACUCCGUGCCAGCAGCCGCGGUAAUACGGAGGGUGCUAGCGUUAAUCGGAAUUACUGGGCGUAAAGCGCACGCAGGCGGUCUGUCAAGUCGGAUGUGAAAUCCCCGGGCUCAACCUGGGAACUGCAUUCGAAACUGGCAGGCUAGAGUCUUGUAGAGGGGGGUAGAAUUCCAGGUGUAGCGGUGAAAUGCGUAGGGAUCUGGGGGUAUACCGGUGGCGAAGGCGGCCCCCUGGACAAAGACUGACGCUCAGGUGCGAAAGCGUGGGGAGCAAACAGGAUUAGAUACCCCGGUAGUC